AGGAGGAAGAGGAGGAGGAGGAGGAAGAUGAUAAUGUCAGUGAAACCUUGUCUGGCAUGGAGGAGCUGGGGAGGGGACUCCACAGCCCAGCAGAAUUAAUACCUCUUGUGCCCCCAUCGAGCUCUCCUUCAGCACAGCUACUGUGCUACCGCCUGGGGCCACCCCCGGACAGCUGGACGGUGCUGGGAGGGGCUGCAGACUCCCCCAGCACUGGCACCAGGACUGCUGGCCCCAAGACUCCCCUGGGCUAAGCCAAAUCUCUGCAACAACGGACCAGCCACUCAGGAUUCACCCUGUGCCUGCACCUGGGCCAGCCAGUGCCUGCCGCUGCCCUGGCACUGCCCUGCUGGCACGGGGGCUGCUGGCACUGCUGCCAUGGAGUGCACAGGCUGCAGCACCUGCUCCUUGCCAUGUGCCGCCUGCAUGAACCGCCUCGAGCUGCAGCUGCUCCUCGCUCUGCUCACUGCCAGGCCAUGCAGGGCCACCCUGCGUGCUCUGAGCCUGCCUCAUGCAGGCAGCGUACACCCUCAGGGAGCAACAGCUCUUGGCCUGGAGCAGUGCGUGAUGAAGGCCUUUCCCCUGCA
Onychostruthus taczanowskii (white-rumped snowfinch) is the source of this 584-nucleotide long non-coding RNA. RefSeq lists it as uncharacterized. The transcript has 3 exons. The record is from RefSeq and is a predicted model, not a curated record. Lineage: Eukaryota; Metazoa; Chordata; Aves; Passeriformes; Passeridae.